CGGCGCUCUCGCCCUUGUGAGCGCGGGGCACCGUGGGAAGUGCAGGAGCAGAAGAGGCCUCACCCCGUGACCUCGCAGCCAUGGUAACAGCGCCGCGCACGGCCGCCGCCGGUGAGGUGAGGCUGGAGCGAGCCGGUGCCAGCCUCGCGGGAGAGCGCCGACCUCUGCUGAGCGCGGUCUCGAAGUGCUCCAGGGUUGCUUCCUCUGGGCAUCCGGGCUCUGCUGCUCAGCCACCAUGAACUAAGCAUCUUUCCUCCACCAGGCCCUUCUGUGAUGAUGUUCUUGCCGUCGGGCCUGCCGAUCAUGGACCUAACCCUCUGAAAUCGCAUCCCAGUCAGUGGAUGUGAAGUCGUACUUUACUGUGGCUUUGAGUUCUAAUUCCCUAAUGACUAAUGAUGUUGAAAUUGUUUGUGCUGAUUGGCCAUUUGUCCAUCUUCUUUAGAGAAACAUCUCUCCCAAUUCUUGCUUUUUUGAGUGGAUUGUUUUAUUAUUGAGUUGUGAAAAUUCUUUGCACAUCUGGACACAGAUCACUUAUCAGACAUCUGAUUUGCCAGUAUGCUAUCGCAUUGUAUGCGUUGUCAUUUCGUGGAAUGAGCUGGGACAUAUUCCUUCUUCUUCUGUCUUUGGAAG
This is a long non-coding RNA of Heterocephalus glaber (naked mole-rat), 630 nucleotides long. NCBI's taxonomy places the organism in Eukaryota, Metazoa, Chordata, Mammalia, Rodentia, Bathyergidae. The record is from Ensembl.